UACGGGGGGGGCAAGCGUUGUUCGGAAUUACUGGGCGUAAAGGGCUCGUAGGUGGCCAACUAAGUCAGACGUGAAAUCCCCAGGCUCAACUUGGGAACUGCGUCUGAUACUGGAUGGCUUGAAUUCGGGAGAGGGAUGCAGAAUUCCAGGUGUAGCGGUGAAAUGCGUAGAUAUCUGGAGGAAUACCAGUGGCGAAGGCGGGUCUCUGGACAGUUCCUGACGCUGAGGCACGAAGGCCAGGGGAGCAAACGGG
This 253-nucleotide ribosomal RNA is filed under the name uncultured bacterium. RNAcentral's name for it is "partial 16S ribosomal RNA". It matches the Rfam family "Bacterial small subunit ribosomal RNA", at positions 524 to 776 of the family's 1533-position model. The record is from RNAcentral.